Molecule: long non-coding RNA, 148 nt
Organism: Serinus canaria (Common canary)
Lineage: Eukaryota; Metazoa; Chordata; Aves; Passeriformes; Fringillidae
Exons: 3
Source: RefSeq, a predicted model, not a curated record
GUCCCACAGCAAUUCCCAUGUCCCACAGCAAUUCCCAGGUCCCACGGCAAUUCCCAUGUCCCACAGCAAUUCCCAGGUCCUGCAGCAAUUCCCAGGUCCCGCAGCAAUUCCCAUGUCCCACAGCAAUUCCCAGGUCCUGCAGCAAUUC